AGCGUGUUUUUAAGAGGAGUGGACCAGGCAGCCUGUGCCUUCAACACAGCAACACCUUGGAUCUCUUCACAUUUCAUUCCUCUUUCCAUCAUAAUAAGAGACAAUGGCACUAUGUAACGUUCCUAAGACCAUAAUUACUUUUUCUCUGCUUUUUCUGAGUGGUUAAGGUGUUUGCUAGAAUUGAAAGUAUAUGUAUAUUUUUUCAGGUGAGCUGUGCUGGUCUGGGAAUGAAACGGACUAUAAUAAUUAUAUAGUGAGAAUAAUCUUUUGUUUGUGUGUUGUCCUUUUCUGGUAAGUGUGGAGUGAGUUUUCCUGUGUUUCCUGAGCCAGUGCUUGGUGUGGCCUGCCUGUCCCUUAGGGGAGGUGACCUGACCCACACCACACCACACCACCUCACACACACACACACACACACACACACACACACACACA
This is a long non-coding RNA of Eriocheir sinensis (Chinese mitten crab), 432 nucleotides long. RefSeq lists it as uncharacterized. The record is from RefSeq and is a predicted model, not a curated record. Lineage: Eukaryota; Metazoa; Arthropoda; Malacostraca; Decapoda; Varunidae. The transcript has 2 exons.